GACGAACGCUGGCGGCGUGCUUAACACAUGCAAGUCGAACGGAAAGGCCCUGCUUGCCGGGUACUCGAGUGGCGAACGGGUGAGUAACACGUGGGUGAUCUGCCCUGCACUUCGGGAUAAGCCUGGGAAACUGGGUCUAAUACCGGAUAGGAGCCAUUUUUAGUGUGAUGGUUGGAAAGUUUUUUCGGUGUAGGAUGAGCUCGCGGCCUAUCAGCUUGUUGGUGGGGUAAUGGCCUACCAAGGCGGCGACGGGUAGCCGGCCUGAGAGGGUGGACGGCCACAUUGGGACUGAGAUACGGCCCAGACUCCUACGGGAGGCAGCAGUGGGGAAUAUUGCACAAUGGGCGCAAGCCUGAUGCAGCGACGCCGCGUGGGGGAUAACGGCCUUCGGGUUGUAAACUCCUUUCGCUAGGGACGAAGCUUUUGUGACGGUACCUAGAGAAGAAGCACCGGCUAACUACGUG
Molecule: ribosomal RNA, 464 nt
Filed under: uncultured bacterium
Lineage: Bacteria
Description: partial 16S ribosomal RNA
Rfam family: Bacterial small subunit ribosomal RNA
Source: RNAcentral